UACGUAGGGUGCGAGCGUUGUCCGGAAUUAUUGGGCGUAAAGAGCUCGUAGGCGGUUUGUCGCGUCUGCCGUGAAAGUCCGGGGCUCAACUCCGGAUCUGCGGUGGGUACGGGCAGACUAGAGUGAUGUAGGGGAGACUGGAAUUCCUGGUGUAGCGGUGAAAUGCGCAGAUAUCAGGAGGAACACCGAUGGCGAAGGCAGGUCUCUGGGCAUUACCUGACGCUGAGGAGCGAAAGUGUGGGGAGCGAACAGG
Molecule: ribosomal RNA, 253 nt
Filed under: uncultured bacterium
Lineage: Bacteria
Description: partial 16S ribosomal RNA
Rfam family: Bacterial small subunit ribosomal RNA
Source: RNAcentral